AUGAACGCUGGCGGCGUGCCUAAUACAUGCAAGUCGAGCGAACAGACGAGGAGCUUGCUCCUCUGACGUUAGCGGCGGACGGGUGAGUAACACGUGGAUAACCUACCUAUAAGACUGGGAUAACUUCGGGAAACCGGAGCUAAUACCGGAUAAUAUAUUGAACCGCAUGGUUCAAUAGUGAAAGACGGUUUUGCUGUCACUUAUAGAUGGAUCCGCGCCGCAUUAGCUAGUUGGUAAGGUAACGGCUUACCAAGGCAACGAUGCGUAGCCGACCUGAGAGGGUGAUCGGCCACACUGGAACUGAGACACGGUCCAGACUCCUACGGGAGGCAGCAGUAGGGAAUCUUCCGCAAUGGGCGAAAGCCUGACGGAGCAACGCCGCGUGAGUGAUGAAGGUCUUCGGAUCGUAAAACGCUGUUAUUAGGGAAGAACAAAUGUGUAAGUAACUAUGCACGUCUUGACGGUACCUAAUCAGAAAGCCACGGCUAACUACGU
This 495-nucleotide ribosomal RNA is filed under the name uncultured bacterium. RNAcentral's name for it is "partial 16S ribosomal RNA". It matches the Rfam family "Bacterial small subunit ribosomal RNA", at positions 29 to 506 of the family's 1533-position model. The record is from RNAcentral.